UAAGGUGUAGCUCAGUGGUGGAGCACGUGCCCAGCAUGCAUGAGGCCCAGGGUUCAAUCCCCAGUACCUCCA
RNAcentral lists this transfer RNA (72 nucleotides) under Camelus bactrianus (Bactrian camel). It matches the Rfam family "tRNA". Rfam says of the family: Transfer RNA (tRNA) molecules are approximately 80 nucleotides in length. Their secondary structure includes four short double-helical elements and three loops (D, anti-codon, and T loops). Lineage: Eukaryota; Metazoa; Chordata; Mammalia; Artiodactyla; Camelidae. RNAcentral also lists the same sequence under 1 other name. The record is from Rfam by way of RNAcentral.